Molecule: transfer RNA, 56 nt
Filed under: Toxocara canis (dog roundworm)
Lineage: Eukaryota; Metazoa; Nematoda; Chromadorea; Rhabditida; Toxocaridae
Description: tRNA-Leu
Source: RNAcentral
ACUUAGUAUAAUAAAUAUAGUGGGUUUAGGACCUGAAGAUUUUUGGUAUAUUAUGU